AAUAAGUUCACUUUUAGUUUUUUUAUAUAACAUUUGACUCUUUGUCUUAUUUAAAUUAUUUUGCGAUUAAUAUUUUUAUUGUUAUGAGAUGAUAAAAUAUGAAUAAUACUUUACACAUGACUAAUUUUUUUUUGAGUUUUUAAAUAAAUUUUUAAAAUAAGAUGGAUGGUCAAAUGCUGGACAUAGAAACC
RNAcentral lists this microRNA precursor (191 nucleotides) under Oryza brachyantha (malo sina). RNAcentral describes it as "MIR812 microRNA precursor family". It matches the Rfam family "MIR812 microRNA precursor family". Lineage: Eukaryota; Viridiplantae; Streptophyta; Magnoliopsida; Poales; Poaceae. The record is from Rfam by way of RNAcentral.